Molecule: long non-coding RNA, 2000 nt
Filed under: Homo sapiens (human)
Lineage: Eukaryota; Metazoa; Chordata; Mammalia; Primates; Hominidae
Description: non-protein coding lnc-ERV3-1-6:1
Source: RNAcentral
CUCCUGACCUCAGGUAAUCCACCCACCUCAGCCUCCCAAAGUGCUGGGACUACAGGCGCCCGCCACCACGCCCAGCUACUUUUUUGUAUUUUUAGUAGAGAUGGAGUAUCACCAUGUUAGCCAGGAUGGUCUCGGUCUUCUGACCUCGUGAUCCGCCCACCUCGGCCUCCCAAAGUGCUGGGAUUACAGGUGUGAGCCACCACGCCCGGCCAAAAAUACUUCUUAAUCAGACUUUACUUAUCUCCUUCCCACCAACUCCUGCGCUUUGAGCUACCUUCAGUCUGAGCCAACACAAAGUGCUGGGAUUACAGGCGUGAGCCACUGCACCUGGCCCUGUUUAAUCUUUGCAUUAAGAGCAUAAUUAUUAUGUAACAUUCUAAUUUCUUUCAUAAUUUUCUUCACAUAUUUUUGGAAUUAUACCCUUAGUUGUUUCUCUAAUUCUUACAAUUAGAGAUGGAGUCUCGCUCUGUCGCCAGGCUGGAGUGCAGUGGCACGAUCUCAGCUCACUGCAACCUCAGCCGAUGUGUUGUCUGCAAGACAGAGGACUUUGCAUAUGUAAGUCUGAUAGAGGUAGCAUUUUUCUAAUUCCCACAAAGGUGCUUUUGGUCUAAUUCUGACUGUGAAAAAACUAGAGACCACUGGAGAAUAUAUGUAGAAGACACCCUGAAUCACUUCAACCACGGGCAUACAUUGGGAAAUCUGGCAUUGUGUUCUAUUUAUUGUAAUGUUUUGGUUAUUGGGAGGUAUUGGUUUUGCUGCCAAAGACUAAGACCACACAAUCUACCAGGCCAAAGUUAUCGGGAAAAGUGAGCUCACACAGAAUAAUUUAAAACCCAGUUAUUCCUAUUGUGUUUUCCAGUAAUUCUGUUCAGUUUUUCCUUUUGUGGCUCCAUUUCUAAUUAUCAGAAAGCUAGGACUUGUCAUUCUUAUAGAGUUUACAUUAAAAUUAUGGGUCUGGAGGGGGAUGAGCUAAUGGCAUGGCUUCCUUGUAAGUAUAUAUUGGGGGCCUCAUCCCUCAUGCAUAGACUCACUUCAGGACUCAUUUGGGUAAAUGUCUAUUUGUCAGCAUUAUUAAAAGUGAGAGUUCAAGACUCAGGUAAGUGAUUGAAUGAGGUAGAAUUUUCUCAAUAAAAUGCUAAAAUAAUUCCCUUCUAAUAAUUUCAGUAAUAUAUCUUAGUGAGUAAUAGCUAAAUGCAGUAGAAGUUUCCAAAUUAAAAGAUCAAUUUCAUGAAUUUUAUUAGGCUAUAAAUUUUGAAAGGAUUUUAAAAAUUUUGAAAGAAUUUGUAAUAUUACCUUUGAAUUAGAAUUGCAUUUUACAUUUUAUCAUUUUUCUAAUUUUAAUUUACAGUAUAUAUAAAACUAAAAUUUUGAAUGUUAUUAUAAAAGAUAGCGGAACUUGUUCAGAAUUCAGUCAUUCUUUCUUCUUCCUUUUUUUUUUUGAGACAGAUUUUCGCUCUUGUUGCCCAGGCUGGAGUACAAUGGGGUGAUCUCAGCUCACUGCCACCUCCGCCUCCCUGGUUCAAGCGAUUCUCCUGCCUCAGCCUACUGGGUAGCUGGGAUUACAGGCGCUUGCCACCUUGCCCGGCUAAUUUUUGUAUUUUUAACUCCUGACCUCAGGUGAUCCACCUGCCUCGGCCUCCCAAAGUGCUAGGAUUACAAGUGUGAGCCACAGCACCCGCCCAUUUUUUUUCAGAAUUGGAAAUACUUUAGUAUAUUUAUACUCUUUACAACCAUCUAAAAUUGAAAUGUAGUAAACCAUAAGAUUAUUAUUCAACCUUUCUCAUUUAUUAGCUUGUAGCAGAUAACCAUAAAAAAUGUUUAAUUCUGUUACAGCAAUUGCUAAUACAAAAAUGUUCUAGUUUUUAUAAACUAGAAAUAUCUGCAUUUGGCAUUUACUAAAUUUUUGUGGAGUUAGUUACUAAAUAACAGAUAUAGAAGCUUUUAAUAGUAAGCAUAAUUAUAAACAUAAAUUCAGUUAUAGUAUUUCAUAUCUCAUCACA